AAGAUAAACAUCGAAAGAGGCACGAAACAUAGAAGAAACCCAGCGACACCAAAUACUUAAAAAAAGUAGAGUAAUAUGACAUCUCGUGAAGACUUGACGAUAAUUUGGUAACGAUAAACGGUUGGUCGACCUCUCCCCCCUGCCCCUCUCAAACAACCAACACACGGGGUAUUUAAAAAUUAAUUUCUCACCCGAAUCCAGUCCUAUGAGUGUUUCUGAAAUGCUCUUUCACCUCAUCAAAUUUGGUGUUUGAUAGCUCGCUGACCUUUGUAAAAUAUUUGACGAAAUUUUAAUAACAAGAUCUGUUCAUGAUCACUACAACAUGUUAAGGUACCUUCUUACGAAGUGGUGUUCUGUUGUAGCUGUGGCGAUAAAAAGUGAUGUUUAAUGACGAAGAGAAUUCACGAAUGUCGAAAACAUAAAGAACGCUGUGCUCACUCACCGUGCCUUUCGUGUCUUCUGAUCUUUCUUUUCGCCCAUUAGCUCGGCAAGAUUCGGACAAUAAUCGAUAAAACUUCGAGUUAACCUCGCAAGAAAAAGUGCGCUGUAGAAGAAAAGAUAAAACACAGCGAAUUAAUGCUACUGUAAAUCAUAUACCACAUUCGUCAUGUUUUUUUAGGUAGAAAGGGAAAAUGGGAUUAUGGAGAUAUUCCACAGAAAGUCUUGAUGCUUUGAAGAUUGAGUGAUAGUAUUUAAGUAAACCAUCGUUCAUUUCAACCUGUUACUUACUAAAGCUAAAUUCAACCUAUCUUUUUCAGGCACUUUCCUUCACUUCAAAGAUCGAGAUUUUCCAGAUUAAUGUGACAAGCAUUCAAUCGUCUCGUUUGCAGUUUAUCAUACAAACUUUCAAGCACUAUAAAUUCUAGUUGUUUUUAUUUCAUAUGAAAUCCAACUACAUACCCAAUAGACUAUUAAUACAAAUGGAAUGUACGUAUGAAUAAAAGAAAUUCCCGUGAAAAAAUCCUUAAAUUCACACGAA
Long non-coding RNA from Xenia sp. Carnegie-2017, 979 nucleotides. RefSeq lists it as uncharacterized. NCBI's taxonomy places the organism in Eukaryota, Metazoa, Cnidaria, Anthozoa, Malacalcyonacea, Xeniidae. The transcript is spliced from 2 exons. The record is from RefSeq and is a predicted model, not a curated record.